This 975-nucleotide non-coding RNA is filed under the name Columba palumbus. RNAcentral describes it as "12S ribosomal RNA". It matches the Rfam family "Bacterial small subunit ribosomal RNA". Lineage: Eukaryota; Metazoa; Chordata; Aves; Columbiformes; Columbidae. The record is from RNAcentral.
AAAAGACUUAGUCCUAACCUUACCGUUAGUUCUCGCUAGAUAUAUACAUGCAAGUAUCCGCGCUCCAGUGUAAAUGCCCUUGACUCCUACUACUGUAGGCAAAAGGAGCUGGCAUCAGGCACGCCCAUAGCAGCCCAAGACGCCUUGCUUAGCCACACCCCCACGGGUACUCAGCAGUAAUUAACAUUAAGCAAUAAGUGUAAACUUGACUUAGUCAUAGCAAUCCAGGGUUGGUAAAUCUUGUGCCAGCCACCGCGGUCACACAAGAGACCCAAACUAAUCGUUCACGGCGUAAAGAGUGGACUCAUGCUUAUCGCAUUAAUUAAGGUCAAAACGCAGCUGAGCUGUCAUAAGCUUAAGGUGCACUUAAAACCGCCCUAAAUACGACCCUAAACUCAUACGACUCAAUGAACUCCACGAAAGCCAGGGUACAAACUGGGAUUAGAUACCCCACUAUGCCUGGCCCUAAAUCUUGAUGCUCUAUAUAACCAAAGCAUCCGCCUGAGAACUACGAGCACAAACGCUUAAAACUCUAAGGACUUGGCGGUGCCCCAAACCCACCUAGAGGAGCCUGUUCUGUAAUCGAUAACCCACGAUACACCCGACCACUUCUUGCCAAAAACAGCCUACAUACCGCCGUCGCCAGCUCACCUCUUCUGAGAGUACCACAGUGAGCACAACCGCUCUAACCCCGCUAACAAGACAGGUCAAGGUAUAGCCCAUGAAGUGGAAGAAAUGGGCUACAUUUUCUAACUUAGAAAAUCUCACGAAAAGGGGUAUGAAACAACCCCUGGAAGGUGGAUUUAGCAGUAAAGCGGGACAAUAUAGCCCCCUUUAAGCCGGCUCUGGGGCACGUACAUACCGCCCGUCACCCUCCUCAUAAGCUCUAAACUACUAAUAAAUAAUACCCCUAUCCGCUAAAGAUGAGGUAAGUCGUAACAAGGUAAGUGUACCGGAAGGUGCACUUAGUACACC